RNAcentral lists this ribosomal RNA (259 nucleotides) under uncultured bacterium. RNAcentral's name for it is "partial 16S ribosomal RNA". It matches the Rfam family "Bacterial small subunit ribosomal RNA", at positions 96 to 353 of the family's 1533-position model. The record is from RNAcentral.
UGGCGGACGGGUGAGUAACGCGUGGGUAACCUGCCUUAUACAGGGGGAUAACAGUUAGAAAUGACUGCUAAUACCGCAUAAGCGCACAGGAUUGCAUGAUCUGGUGUGAAAAACUCCGGUGGUAUAAGAUGGACCCGCGUUGGAUUAGCUAGUUGGUGGGGUAACGGCCCACCAAGGCGACGAUCCAUAGCCGGCCUGAGAGGGUGAACGGCCACAUUGGGACUGAGACACGGCCCAGACUCCUACGGGAGGCAGCAUG